AUGCUUGGAUGAGUUAUUUUAAUUAAUGGAGGCUAAUACUUUCUUUAUAUUGGUUUUCAAUAUUAGUAACAAUGAAAACCACUUCGGUUGGUUGGUCUGGUGGUAUUAGCUUCGGACCUGGGAGUGUGCUCCCCCUUAAGGUUUCAAGUUCAAUUAUCUCUAGUGUCAAUUUGGAUGGGCUAAUUUAGCUUCUUCAAAAAAAUAUUAGUAACAAUGAAUAUAGUUUAUUAAUUAUGUUGUCAAUUUUGUAUAUCUUUUUAUUUUUGAGCUUUUAUAUAUGUAUGGUAUGAAUUUCUAGUAUUGUUUCCCUAAACUUUGAUAUAGCGGCCAUUGAGUACAUAGAUUUUGAGAAGAAAAAAAUGAAAAUGAUUAGCUUGAUGUUGGUUAUACUUUUGAUUGGAUAACAUGCUAACAAGUCUUACAAAGAAAUUUCUUGUUUUUAUCUUGGUUCAAACUCUAACUUGAUGAUUUUCUUUUAUGUUUCAAUUUAGUGUGAUAAUAGUCAUAUUGUUUGCUCUACCUGC
Molecule: long non-coding RNA, 524 nt
Filed under: Trifolium pratense (red clover)
Lineage: Eukaryota; Viridiplantae; Streptophyta; Magnoliopsida; Fabales; Fabaceae
Description: long non-coding RNA (TPRA_LNC010754)
Source: RNAcentral